Molecule: non-coding RNA, 21 nt
Filed under: Caenorhabditis elegans
Lineage: Eukaryota; Metazoa; Nematoda; Chromadorea; Rhabditida; Rhabditidae
Source: RNAcentral
UUCGCAGCCUAUCUUCAUUUC